UUCUAGAUCCCAGGCUGGUUAAAAAGGUAAAAUAUUAGCU
This 40-nucleotide ribosomal RNA is filed under the name Klossia helicina. RNAcentral describes it as "small subunit ribosomal RNA". Lineage: Eukaryota; Apicomplexa; Adeleidae. The record is from RNAcentral.